This 232-nucleotide ribosomal RNA is filed under the name uncultured bacterium. RNAcentral describes it as "partial 16S ribosomal RNA". It matches the Rfam family "Bacterial small subunit ribosomal RNA", at positions 28 to 260 of the family's 1533-position model. The record is from RNAcentral.
GACGAACGCUGGCGGCGUGCUUAACACAUGCAAGUCGAGCGGUAAGGCCCUUUCGGGGGUACACGAGCGGCGAACGGGUGAGUAACACGUGGGUGACCUGCCCUCAGCUCUGGGAUAAGCCUGGGGAAACCGGGUCUAAUACUGGAUAUGACUCCAUGACGCAUGUUGUGGGGUGGAAAGCCUUGUGCGGCUGAGGAUGGGCCCGCGGCCUAUCAGCUUGUUGGGGGGGUGA